Molecule: ribosomal RNA, 1425 nt
Filed under: Amphiops sp. SLE0407
Lineage: Eukaryota; Metazoa; Arthropoda; Insecta; Coleoptera; Hydrophilidae
Description: SSU rRNA
Rfam family: Eukaryotic small subunit ribosomal RNA
Source: RNAcentral
CAAGGAAGGCAGCAGGCGCGCAAAUUACCCACUCCCGGCACGGGGAGGUAGUGACGAAAAAUAACGAUACGGGACUCAUCCGAGGCCCCGUAAUCGGAAUGAGUACACUCUAAACCCUUUAACGAGGAUCAAUUGGAGGGCAAGUCUGGUGCCAGCAGCCGCGGUAAUUCCAGCUCCAAUAGCGUAUAUUAAAGUUGUUGCGGUUAAAAAGCUCGUAGUCGAAUCUGUGUCUCGUGCCGUCGGUUCAUCGCUCGCGGUGUUAACUGACGUGUCACGGGACGUCCUGCCGGUGGACUUAGCCUUUCGGGGCGGUCCAACUUCAAAUCCCACCGCGGUGCUCUUCAUUGAGUGUCGAGGUGGGCCGGCACGUUUACUUUGAACAAAUUAGAGUGCUUAAAGCAGGCUAAAACUUCGCCUGAAUAUUGUGUGCAUGGAAUAAUGGAAUAGGACCUCGGUUCUAUUUUGUUGGUUUUCGGAACCCCGAGGUAAUGAUUAAUAGGAACGGAUGGGGGCAUUCGUAUUGCGACGUUAGAGGUGAAAUUCUUGGAUCGUCGCAAGACGGACAGAAGCGAAAGCAUUUGCCAAAAACGCUUUCAUUGAUCAAGAACGAAAGUUAGAGGUUCGAAGGCGAUCAGAUACCGCCCUAGUUCUAACCAUAAACGAUGCCAGCUAGCGAUCCGCCGACGUUCCUCCGAUGACUCGGCGGGCAGCUUCCGGGAAACCAAAGCUUUUGGGUUCCGGGGGAAGUAUGGUUGCAAAGCUGAAACUUAAAGGAAUUGACGGAAGGGCACCACCAGGAGUGGAGCCUGCGGCUUAAUUUGACUCAACACGGGAAACCUCACCAGGCCCGGACACCGGUAGGAUUGACAGAUUGAGAGCUCUUUCUUGAUUCGGUGGGUGGUGGUGCAUGGCCGUUCUUAGUUGGUGGAGCGAUUUGUCUGGUUAAUUCCGAUAACGAACGAGACUCUAGCCUGCUAACUAGGCGUAUUUUCGACAUCUCAAAGGCCCGCCGGCCCGGCGCUUUGCGUCGUGGUCGCGCGCGGUUUUUACUGUCGGCGUACAAUUAAUUCUUCUUAGAGGGACAGGCGGCUUCUAGCCGCACGAGAUUGAGCAAUAACAGGUCUGUGAUGCCCUUAGAUGUUCUGGGCCGCACGCGCGCUACACUGAAGGAAUCAGCGUGUCCUCCCUGGCCGAGAGGCCCGGGUAACCCGCUGAACCUCCUUCGUGCUAGGGAUUGGGGCUUGCAAUUAUUCCCCAUGAACGAGGAAUUCCCAGUAAGCGCGAGUCAUAAGCUCGCGUUGAUUACGUCCCUGCCCUUUGUACACACCGCCCGUCGCUACUACCGAUUGAAUGAUUUAGUGAGGUCUUCGGACCGGUACGCGGUGGCGCUUCCGCGUCGCCGAUGUUGCUGGGAAGAUGACCAAA